GCGGAAGAGACAUUACCGAGUUUACAACUCCCAAACCCCAAUGUGAACGUUACCAAUCUGUUGCCUCGGCGGGAUUCUCUUGCCCCGGGCGCGUCGCAGCCCCGGAUCCCAUGGCGCCCGCCGGAGGACCAACUCCAAACUCUUUUUUUCUCUCCGUCGCGGCUCCCGUCGCGGCUCUGUUUUAUUUUUGCUCUGAGCCUUUCUCGGCGACCCUAGCGGGCGUCUCGAAAAUGAAUCAAAACUUUCAACAACGGAUCUCUUGGUUCUGGCAUCGAUGAAGAACGCAGCGAAAUGCGAUAAGUAAUGUGAAUUGCAGAAUUCAGUGAAUCAUCGAAUCUUUGAACGCACAUUGCGCCCGCCAGUAUUCUGGCGGGCAUGCCUGUCCGAGCGUCAUUUCAACCCUCGAACCCCUCCGGGGGGUCGGCGUUGGGGAUCGGCCCCUCACCGGGCCGCCCCCGAAAUACAGUGGCGGUCUCGCCGCAGCCUCUCCUGCGCAGUAGUUUGCACACUCGCACCGGGAGCGCGGCGCGGCCACAGCCGUAAAACACCCCAAACUUCUGAAAUGUUGACCUCGGAUCAGGUAGGAAUACCCGCUGAACUUAAGCAUAUCAA
Molecule: ribosomal RNA, 612 nt
Filed under: Trichoderma longibrachiatum
Lineage: Eukaryota; Fungi; Ascomycota; Sordariomycetes; Hypocreales; Hypocreaceae
Description: eukaryotic LSU rRNA
Rfam family: 5.8S ribosomal RNA (bases 240-393)
Source: RNAcentral